Molecule: non-coding RNA, 72 nt
Organism: Caenorhabditis brenneri
Lineage: Eukaryota; Metazoa; Nematoda; Chromadorea; Rhabditida; Rhabditidae
Source: the annotation of a GenBank genome assembly
GAAUGAAUGGCCUAGUGGUUAGCGCUCCUGUCUAUGAAUCUUGCAUCGCGGGUUCAAUUCCUAGUGGGGUCA